RNAcentral lists this ribosomal RNA (442 nucleotides) under uncultured bacterium. RNAcentral describes it as "partial 16S ribosomal RNA". It matches the Rfam family "Bacterial small subunit ribosomal RNA", at positions 338 to 795 of the family's 1533-position model. The record is from RNAcentral.
CCUACGGGAGGCAGCAGUGGGGAAUAUUGGGCAAUGGGCGCAAGCCUGACCCAGCAACGCCGCGUGAAGGAAGAAGGCUUUCGGGUUGUAAACUUCUUUUGACAGGGAAGAGCAGAAGACGGUACCUGUCGAAUAAGCCACGGCUAACUACGUGCCAGCAGCCGCGGUAAUACGUAGGGGGAAAGCGUUGUCCGGAUUUACUGGGUGGAAAGGGCGUGUAGCCGGGCUGACAAGUCAGAUGUGAAAUCCGGGGGCUCAACCCCCGAACUGCAUUUGAAACUGUUGGUCUUGAGUAUCGGAGAGGCAGGCGGAAUUCCUAGUGUAGCGGUGAAAUGCGUAGAUAUUAGGAGGAACACCAGUGGCGAAGGCGGCCUGCUGGACGACAACUGACGGUGAGGCGCGAAAGCGUGGGGAGCAAACAGGAUUAGAUACCCCUGUAGUC